GUGUUGUAUGAAAGGAGAGCUAGUUAGCACUCCCCUAGACAAGGACGGAUUACAAACACACAUGGAUAAGGCACAUUAUCCAUCGUUUUUU
Pollicipes pollicipes is the source of this 91-nucleotide small nuclear RNA. NCBI's taxonomy places the organism in Eukaryota, Metazoa, Arthropoda, Thecostraca, Pollicipedomorpha, Pollicipedidae. The record is from RefSeq and is a predicted model, not a curated record.